Molecule: transfer RNA, 70 nt
Filed under: Fibrobacter intestinalis
Lineage: Bacteria; Pseudomonadati; Fibrobacterota; Fibrobacteria; Fibrobacterales; Fibrobacteraceae
Rfam family: tRNA
About the family: Transfer RNA (tRNA) molecules are approximately 80 nucleotides in length. Their secondary structure includes four short double-helical elements and three loops (D, anti-codon, and T loops).
Source: RNAcentral
GAAUGUGGCGUAACAGGAUAGAGCAACGGACUUCGAAUCCGUAGGUUGCAGGUUCGAGUCCUGCCACUCG